This 220-nucleotide long non-coding RNA is filed under the name Gossypium raimondii (Peruvian cotton). RNAcentral's name for it is "long non-coding RNA (GRAI_LNC009278)". The record is from RNAcentral. Lineage: Eukaryota; Viridiplantae; Streptophyta; Magnoliopsida; Malvales; Malvaceae.
UUUUUUUGACUUUUUCUACUGAUUUUUUUGUGGGAAAUAUUUUUUAAUAUUCUAUCACAGUGCCAUAAAUAUGCAUAUAAAAUUUCAGACCAAUCGGACAAUGUUUACCCACUCAAAUGAUUUUUUUUCAAAAAUUUUUCUGCGUCAAAACUACUAUAUGUUGUUUUUUAAAGGAAAUCAGUUUAGAAAUCAACCAAGAACACCCAAAAUGCCCAAAAUC